GCGAACGACGGGGAAGCGGCGGGGGUAAUACGGAGGGUGCGGGCGUUGGCCGGAAUUAUGUGGCGGAAAGGGCAUGUAGGCGGUUUUGUAAGACUGGUGUGAAAUCCUGCAGCUUAACUGUAGAAUUGCAUUGGGUACUGCGAGACUUGAAUCACAGAGGGGAAACUAGAAUUCCAGGUGUAGGGGUGGAAUCUGUAGAUAUCUGGAAGAAUACCGGUGGCGAAGGCGGGUUUCUAGCUGAUGAUUGACGCUGAGGUGCGAAAGUGCGGGGAGCAAACAGGAUUAGAUACCCGAGUAGUC
RNAcentral lists this ribosomal RNA (300 nucleotides) under uncultured Thermus sp. RNAcentral's name for it is "partial 16S ribosomal RNA". It matches the Rfam family "Bacterial small subunit ribosomal RNA", at positions 496 to 795 of the family's 1533-position model. The record is from RNAcentral. Lineage: Bacteria; Thermotogati; Deinococcota; Deinococci; Thermales; Thermaceae.